Arabidopsis thaliana (thale cress) is the source of this 144-nucleotide small nucleolar RNA. NCBI's taxonomy places the organism in Eukaryota, Viridiplantae, Streptophyta, Magnoliopsida, Brassicales, Brassicaceae. The record is from RefSeq.
UUCCAGAAUUGUGUCAUGUAUCCACCGAAACAUAAAGAGGGUGUAUAAAUACAAAACAAAAUCUGGUACACCUAAAUGUGUUCUAUCGUUACAGAUACUAUUAUGCUCAAACGCUUGCAUCUGCUCCAUUUGAACUCUACAUUC